UUUGUAUAAACCCCUCCCUCUGAAUGUGGGCAGGGCCUGUGACUCGCUUCUAACUAACAGAACUGGCAAACGUGGUGAGGCAUCACUCUCAUGAUUACAUUAUGUUGUAGAAGACUUGGCCUUGCCAGCUAACUCUAGAAAUUCUCUUUGCUAAAGCAGGCAGUCAUGCUAGAAAAGCCCACAUGGCAAGGAACUGCAAGCAGCCUCUAGGAACUGUGGGUGACCUCCCACCAACAUCCAGCAAAAAGCCCAGGCCCUCAGUCCCACAACUGCAAGAAAAUCAAUUCUGCCAACCACAGGAAUUUGGACGCCAAUUCCUCCCCUGCCAAGCCUCCAGAGGAGAACACAACCCGGUCAAUAUCUUCACGGCAGCAGCCUAAGACCCUAAGCAGAGAACCCAGGCACCUCCACUGGACUCUGCUGUUUUUCUGAGGAGGCGCAGCACUGCCCUCCACUUCCUUCUACCCAUGCCUCUCUUCCCCAGUUUAAAAUGGCCGGAAGCUUUAUAUGAUAACUAAAAUCUCACUUAAUCCUGAACAAAGGCUGAUGGAGGGGAGCAAGUCGGAGUGGAAGGAGGGGAGAGGACUGGAUUUGCUUCUAAAAUCAGCCGUCCGGGGUUUCUGGAGCCCUGGAACAUUGAAAGCUUCUUCCACAUCUGCAAGACUUCAUCCUGACACACCACUGCCUGCCCCAUCUUUCAGGACUAGUGGUAAAAGCACCACAGCUACCUACAAACACAUCACCGCAUCCUAAUUACAGGCCGACACUGGAGGUCAGGGGUUUCCAAAGCCCCUCUGCUGCACCAUGCUGCAAGGGACAGCAGGGGGCGCACUACUCUCGGUCCAGGAGACAGGACUCCUUGUCUACCAGCCUAAAUCUCAGCACAAAGCCUGCCACAUGGCAGGAUGCUGUGGUCUGAAUGCUGGUGUCCCCCAAAAUUCACAUGUUGAAACAUAAUCCCCAGUGUGGUAGUAUUAAGAGAUAGGGACUUUGGGGGAGUGAUUAAAUCACAACGGCUCGUCCUCAUGAAUGGGAUUAGUGCCUUUGUAAAGGAGAUUGAGGCCAGGUGUGGUGGCUGACACCUGUAAU
Molecule: long non-coding RNA, 1089 nt
Filed under: Homo sapiens (human)
Lineage: Eukaryota; Metazoa; Chordata; Mammalia; Primates; Hominidae
Description: HSALNT0012336
Source: RNAcentral